Molecule: long non-coding RNA, 331 nt
Filed under: Gorilla gorilla gorilla (western lowland gorilla)
Lineage: Eukaryota; Metazoa; Chordata; Mammalia; Primates; Hominidae
Description: lncRNA (ENSGGOG00000044501.1)
Source: RNAcentral
GCCAUUAUGAUGGAUGUUUACAUCUCUUCAUUGAGAGCCAAUUAUCUCGCUUUUGUGUGAGGCCCAAGGAUCACUCAUGCUUCCAGGCUGCACAGAGCACUGUUGGAUCUAGCUGAACGAAUUGUUUUCUCUGUCUCUGAGUGGUCAUGCAGAAAGAAAGGAAGAACAAAAUGGAGGAAAGAAAUAAAGGAGAAAACUAAAUAGGAAGAGAGAAUAGGAAGAAAAUGAAUAAAGAGAGAGAAGAAGAAAGAAGAAAGGAAGGGAGGAAGAGAGAGGAAAGCAAGUAGGAAGGGAGAGGGAAGAAGACAAAUGCAUAGGGAUAUAACAGGCA